Molecule: ribosomal RNA, 332 nt
Filed under: uncultured bacterium
Lineage: Bacteria
Description: bacterial SSU rRNA
Rfam family: Bacterial small subunit ribosomal RNA
Source: RNAcentral
CGUGUAGGCGGUCAUGUAAGUCAGAUGUGAAAGCCUUCCGCUUAACGGAAGAAGUGCAUUUGAAACUACAUGACUGGAGUACGGGAGAGGAGAGUGGAAUUCCCGGUGUAGAGGUGAAAUUCGUAGAUAUCGGGAGGAACACCAGUGGCGAAGGCGGCUCUCUGGCCUGAUACUGACGCUGAGACGCGAAAGCGUGGGGAGCAAACAGGAUUAGAUACCCUGGUAGUCCACGCCGUAAACGAUGGGCACUAGGUGUAGGAGGUAUUGACCCCUUCUGUGCCGAAGCUAACGCAUUAAGUGCCCCGCCUGGGGAGUACGGCCGCAAGGUUAAA